CUCGACGGUUCCCGCGUCGCCUCACGCAACAGGGCAAAAUAAAGCCCAAAAUCAGCCGAACCAACCAAAGCCCGCGUGGCGCGGGCCUGCGACGUUCCGGGAACGUGAGUUCGGCCGGGCGGUGCGGCGGUGCCCUUCGUUCCUUAUCCCCCCGCCGCACGGCGGCCUUGUGCCCUGGCCCCUAUGCCACCAUGUGCUCGAGCUAAACAACCACGCAAACACUUUCCCUCACCUAACCAUUUGCC
Molecule: long non-coding RNA, 245 nt
Filed under: Brachypodium distachyon (stiff brome)
Lineage: Eukaryota; Viridiplantae; Streptophyta; Magnoliopsida; Poales; Poaceae
Description: long non-coding RNA (BDIS_LNC005759)
Source: RNAcentral